CCUGGCUCACGUACGAACGCUGGCGGCGCGCCUAACACAUGCAAGUCGAACGAGCGAGAGAGAGCUUGCUUUCUUGAGCGAGUGGCGAACGGGUGAGUAACGCGUGAGGAACCUGCCUCAAAGAGGGGGACAACAGUUGGAAACGACUGCUAAUACCGCAUAAGCCCACAGCUCGGCAUCGAGCAGAGGGAAAAGGAGCAAUCCGCUUUGAGAUGGCCUCGCGUCCGAUUAGCUAGUUGGUGAGGUAACGGCCCACCAAGGCGACGAUCGGUAGCCGGACUGAGAGGUUGAACGGCCACAUUGGGACUGAGACACGGCCCAGACUCCUACGGGAGGCAGCAGUGGGGAAUAUUGCACAAUGGGGGAAACCCUGAUGCAGCGACGCCGCGUGGAGGAAGAAGGUCUUCGGAUUGUAAACUCCUGUUGUUGAGGAAGAUAAUGACGGUACUCAACAAGGAAGUGACGGCUAACUACGUGCCAGCAGCCGCGGUAAAACGUAGGUCACAAACGUUGUCCGGAAUUACUGGGUGUAAAGGGAGCGCAGGCGGGAGAACAAGUUGGAAGUGAAAUCCAUGGGCUCAACCCAUGAACUGCUUUCAAAACUGUUUUUCUUGAGUAGUGCAGAGGUAGGCGGAAUUCCCGGUGUAGCGGUGGAAUGCGUAGAUAUCGGGAGGAACACCAGUGGCGAAGGCGGCCUACUGGGCACCAACUGACGCUGAGGCUCGAAAGUGUGGGUAGCAAACAGGAUUAGAUACCCUGGUAGUCCACACCGUAAACGAUGAUUACUAGGUGUUGGAGGAUUGACCCCUUCAGUGCCGCAGUUAACACAAUAAGUAAUCCACCUGGGGAGUACGACCGCAAGGUUGAAACUCAAAGGAAUUGACGGGGGCCCGCACAAGCAGUGGAGUAUGUGGUUUAAUUCGACGCAACGCGAAGAACCUUACCAAGUCUUGACAUCCCUUGACGAACAUAGAAAUAUGUUUUCUCUUCGGAGCAAGGAGACAGGUGGUGCAUGGUUGUCGUCAGCUCGUGUCGUGAGAUGUUGGGUUAAGUCCCGCAACGAGCGCAACCCUUAUGGUCAGUUACUACGCAAGAGGACUCUGGCCAGACUGCCGUUGACAAAACGGAGGAAGGUGGGGAUGACGUCAAAUCAUCAUGCCCUUUAUGACUUGGGCUACACACGUACUACAAUGGCGUUAAACAAAGAGAAGCAAGACCGCGAGGUGGAGCAAAACUCAGAAACAACGUCCCAGUUCGGACUGCAGGCUGCAACUCGCCUGCACGAAGUCGGAAUUGCUAGUAAUCGUGGAUCAGCAUGCCACGGUGAAUACGUUCCCGGGCCUUGUACACACCGCCCG
This 1358-nucleotide ribosomal RNA is filed under the name uncultured bacterium. Its description in RNAcentral is "bacterial SSU rRNA". It matches the Rfam family "Bacterial small subunit ribosomal RNA", at positions 18 to 1396 of the family's 1533-position model. The record is from RNAcentral.